UACGUAGGUCGCAAGCGUUGUCCGGAUUUACUGGGCGUAAAGAGCGCGCAGGCGGUCGUGCAAGCCGCGUGUGAAAGCCCCCGGCUCAACUGGGGAGGGUCACGCGAUACUGCUCGACUCGAAGGCAGGAGAGGGUAGUGGAAUUCCCGGUGUAGUGGUGAAAUGCGUAGAUAUCGGGAGGAACACCAGUGGCGAAGGCGACUACCUGGCCUGUUCUUGACGCUGAGGCGCGAAAGCUAGGGGAGCAAACGGG
This 253-nucleotide ribosomal RNA is filed under the name uncultured bacterium. Its description in RNAcentral is "partial 16S ribosomal RNA". It matches the Rfam family "Bacterial small subunit ribosomal RNA", at positions 524 to 776 of the family's 1533-position model. The record is from RNAcentral.